ACCAUACUAACUAGGAGUGAUUCUGGAGGAAAUGAAAAGCUGAUACCUGAUGAAAUAUCAGAGUGAGAAGCUGCAUAUGAUGAGUCCUGGAUGGAACAAACUGUGUCAUUAAUGGAAGUACAAUGUCUGAAUCCACCUUCUGCAACUUGGAUGUGUCGAGUAUUGGCUCAGCAAUAAUUUAUCACUUGAGGAGCACUGCACAGACCAAGCGUGGUCAGACUGUGACCACCUCCUCCUCCUGCUGAUUAAUGGAAGAUGAGGUAGGCAGGGGGUGAUCAAGAAUAGCCAGCCGAGGUGUCCUGGAGGAUAUUAGGAGGUUUGUUGUGUUUGACCUCCAUGAAGUUAACAACAGACAGAGGAGACAACCUGUUCAGUCUGCUGAGCACUGAAGACCCGUGACCCACACUCCUCAGUAACCAGCCCACUCCAGGAUCCGUGUGAAGGCUCUCAGCUGAUGUCCCCUAUAAUUUUGGAUAUCAGACCGACAGUGAUGAAGAACAAAGCACCCUCUGAGGGCACAGGUGUGAGUUCAAGACAAAGUCAUUUCACAGAGUUACAGAAUAUGCCCAGUUGGAAGGGACCCACAAGGAUCAUCAAGUCCAGCUCCUGGCCCUGCACAGGACCAUCCCCAAGAGUCACACCAGGUGCCUGAGAGUAUCACCCAAACGCUUCUUGAGCUCUGGUAGCCUUGCUGCUUGGAAUGCACUGUGACCAAAGGGGCUGUUUACCUCCCUUGGAGACUUAAAGAAUUCCAGUGACUCUGAAAUCAAGGCAUCAAACCAGAGAAGUUCAAAUCUUCUAUGAGAUCAGUUCUUCUGAUUUUUUUUCCUGCUGCAUUAAAGUGCAACUAUUUAAAAUGUAAAGAAAUGCCCAAGCCUGCCAGGAGGUGCUCCUCCCUGCAGCUCCUGUUGGAGUGUUUUGGGAUGUCCUGAGGCCAGCUGGAGCACAGCAGCCACAUCCCUGCCAACACAUCCCCUGGACAGAGGGCAAAGGGUGCUCCUGUGGAUUGCAGUCUUUCAUUACAGCUCCUAUCACUGUCAAAGAGUUCUUCCAGGGACAUCCCAGAAUCUCCCUUUAGCCUCAGAAAAGUCCCCAAAUACUGCAGGAGAACUUAGUCCAAGAGAUUAUGGCCACUAGAGCAAUGACAGGAAGGAUCUGGUAGUGUCUGGUGUAGAAAGGGGGUGAAAUGAUGAUUCUGAUGUGUGAAUGAGGACCAGGAGCUUCAGGAAUUAAUUUCUGUCUCUAAAGAUGAAUUCAGAAAGGUAGGUUCAGGACUGUAAGUAACACCUUCCUUCCACCUUGCUCUCUUCUCUCUGGGUGGGGUAUGGAGUUGACUUUUCAAGGUAAUGCUCACACUCUGUGUGGCUCUGGAAGUGUGCAGUGCUCAGCUUGGACUCUCCACCCUGAACAAAGCCUUUACAAAGUGGAGUUUUAGGUGGUUUUCACCUAUAAAACUGGGUUGGUGUUUUGAGUUUCUACCAAAUCUAUGCAGGAAUACAGUGGAGAAAUUUGUUUUUGAUACAAUGUAGUUUAACAAAAAUCCAGCUCAUUUGGCACAUAUUGUCAGUAUAAUUGGAAAGAAGUGGAGCUCCUCCUGCAAAAGCCAUUUCUAGGAAUGAAGUCAGAAAGCACAACCCAGCAGCUGUUCCAACAGCUCCAUUUGGAUGUGGCUGUCUUUCUGUCCAUGCCCCAAGUAAAUUGCUCGGAAACCAGCCAGAAAUAAAUGGGGAGGAAUUGGUGUGCUGACAACAGUGUGCUUUGAUUUGUCUUCUCACCCUACCACCAGCUGUCUGGCCUCGGGAGCUGACCUUUAUUUAAUUGGGACAAGUCUGGAAGGAUCACUACAAAGCAGCAGGUCCCUGUGUUUGUUCCCCCACCUAUUUGUGAGAAGAGGGUGGUCCAGGGAGUAGAACUGUGGUCUGCUGAAGCAGUUGCCUGCUCCUGUCAGGGCUCUCAGAGAAGCUUCAGAAGGAGGUGAAAUAAAGCUCUCUUGCUCCCAGGAAGCUACACGGUGCUGCUCACCAGGGUGGAAUGAGGAAUGCUAUCCUCAGGUGCUCUGCUCCACAGGAGGAGGUUUGUUAGAGGCAAUUUCCUCAGAGCCCUUUUCUUCCUUGCUCAGAGCCCUGUCCCUCAAGCUUCUUCUGCAGCACACCAAGAGAGGUUUUGUUAAGGGAAGGAGGGAGAAUCCUGCACAGGUGUUAAACACCAGCAAGUGGCUCUUUGGGCAAAUGCUCUGGUGCUGGGCUCUGUCUGUGGGAUGGGGAUACACUGGGGUGGAGGUUUCACCUCACUCGAGCACAAUGGGGGACACCUUUUCAAAAUCAGCCUCUUUUGUGCCUCCCUACUGUGACUGCUGCACUCACAGAAGGGAUUUCUAAUUAUUUUUUUUUUUCAGGAAAGGUGCUUGAAAAAAUGUUUCUAAUGAAAUGCUUCUGGGUGCGUAAUCAGAAUUUUUUUAAUGGUUCAUGUCAUAAGUGCAAAGAAUUUUGGCUAAAGUUGAAGGUAAGGGUUUUUUUAAUCAGCAAUAUGCUCAUUAUUCACUUCCCACUCUCAGCCAAGACAAGAAAAACAGCAGCUUUCUGAUGAAAAGAAGAGGAUCCAUCAGGUCCCACUCACUUUUCAUGAACUAAGAACUGAUGUCAGUGACUGUCAGAUUCAAGUGAUUUUCCCCAUAAAUCUCCUCUUUACUGGCAAAAAGGAAUCAUUGUUCCCUAACACUGCACAAGCUUUUUGUUCAGGUUUGCUGUGUAUAAAAUUUAAUGAGAACAGGCACGGAACACAUCAAGAGCUGAGCAUGUGUCAGUUACAAACCGUGUGUUUGAAAACCUUUUCCUAUAAUUAUCUCCAUUUCCAGUCCCCUACUCAGGGAGGAUGAGGAAAGGGCCUUGUGUGCUCUUGGCAACAGUGCCUUCCCAAAGCAGCAGGAGAAGUGCCUGACUGACAGAAUUGGAUGUGGCUGGAGGAAAGGGAGAGAGGAGAAGGAAUUCAUCUGAGUCCAAAGUGAGGUGUCCCUGAGGCCCCGCUUCUGUGGCUGUUCUUCAAUUUAGAGGGAUUGGGUGGUUUUAUUGACUGACUGGGCUGGUUGUGAUAAUCUUGUCUGCUGGUCACCCAUCUGCUCUAUCUCAGUUUGUGCUCUGUCCCUGUCCCAGGGAGCUGGUUAUGGUCUAUCCCUGUCCCGAGGAGGUGGUUAUGGUCCAUCUUUCCAUCAGCAUGUGGAGGGUACAACACAGUGGGGUCCUGGGCUGGGACACUGAGGACUGGUGCAUGAGGAAUGAUGGUCCUGGUGAGGACUGGGAAAACAGUGACAUCCCCUGGGAUGCUCACAGACAAAGCUGAUCCUACGUUAAUGCACACACACAGCAGAGUAACAGUGGCCUCAGCCACCUGUGUCCUUGGCACCCUGUGCCUUUAGAAACACAGCCUGUAUCAGUUUUCCACAAACAGUCUGUGAUAAACUCCAGCUGCAGGGAGGAAACAGUGAUGCUCGUGGACAGCCUGCACUAUCCUGAGGCUCACUGCUCCAGGGCACAGCAGGUACUUUUGGGAACCCUGUUUAACCUGCAUAGACUGAAGUCUCUGUGUUGGCUGCAACUCACCAGCCUGUGCAGACUUCGGACCUUUUGCUGCCCUGAGAGGAGGAACACAAGCUCAGAUUUUGCCUUCAUUUUGUGACAGAAAUAACCACCAUGGCUCUCUUAGUUCUAAUCAGAAAUGUAGUUUUUUUCUUUAGGGCUAUUUCUUUUCUAAAAACAGGAGUAGCCAGGCUUUUAGGUCACAGGAGGGAGGGAUGCAGCCAGGAUGGGAGCUGUUCCUACCAUUCACCACUCAGUGUGAGGGGGCAAAGCUGGGACUGAGAGGUCCUUGGUGCCAGAGUCAAGCAGCUCUGUCAUGGGAAGAAUGGAAGUUUCAUCCAAAAUUUUUCAGAGAUGCCCUCCAGUUGAGCCAUGAGGUGCAAAAAGGACCCCCUGGCUUCCCAAACCCCUUCUCAGAGAGGAAUUUGUGUGUGGCUGGAUCCAAUUCUAGUCCCAGAUUUGGUCUAGGACUGGAAUGUCUAAAAAUUAGACUUUAGACUAGAAUGUCUAAAAGAUUAUAGAAGUGUAAAUGAGCCCCUCUACAACUUUGUCCCACAGAAUUAAGGAUGGCAAACCAAAUGUAUACAAAAUUAAUUACUCUCUUCAAUUGAUGAUUAGAAUGAUUAGAAUAAAGCAUCUUAAUCAGAAUUAUCUGCUACACAACAUCGGUAGUCCUAAGUACAAUUAUAGUACAUUACUUAUUAAGUCAAUAAUUUCAAAGCCAUCUUACUAAUUAUCAAGUAGAGAUUGAAGUUACACCAAUGUCUGCAGGCUCAGCCCUGAGAUGUGACCUUGAGCGGUGUCACCACUCCAGGGACGAAUCUCCAUGCACACUUCUAGGAGGGGUAUGUUAGAACAUCCUGUCAUCCACCCCUGUCCCUGGAAGUGUCCAGGGCCAGGUUGGAUGGGGCUUGGAGCAACUUGUGAAAGGUGUCCCUGCCAUGGCAGGGGGUAGAAAAAUAUAGGCUUUAAGGUCCCUUCCAACCCAUACCACUCUGGAAUUCUAAAUGUUCUUUCAAUGGUUAUAGGUGAGUGUUGCCCUCACACAGGUAUUUUACAACAAUAAAAUUCAGCUUUUGUGAUGCUGUGAUUCAUUAUCUUAACUCUUAGGAGUAUGCUCUUAGAAAUGUCAAGAUUUGUCAUCUUAAAAGGCAGAAAUCAAUCAGCAAGUGAAAACAAGCACAAGGAUGUAUUGUAAUUUUUUAAUGACUUUUUGAGGCAAUUAGAAGUUAAUCUAAAUCCUUGCUUCUACAAAACCCUUGUCCUAGAAAGUUAUUGCGGGAAAUGAGAAUUCCCAUCUACUUGAAAGCUUUUCCUCAAAAUCCAGAGGUUUGGCCAGUGCUGGAGACAGAGGUGGUGGUGUCUUUUGCACAGGGUAGAAAUCCAGCCUUCUUUGUAUAAGGACCGUCCAGAAAAACAUAGUGAUUUUUGGAUGGAAAUGAUGGGGAGGAACCACAAGAGUGAAAUAAAGUGUUUUCUUUCCCAUCUCCAAUCUCUAAAGAGAACAGUAAAUAUUUCAUCUUGUUUGUGAUCGUCUGCCACACUCCAGCAGUUUAUCGGGUACAUUAAUAAAUGUAUGAAACGUGACCUCAGUAUAGUUGAGCAUCAAACAUGGGGUUGGCAUGAACCACAUGGACCCCGAGAGGUGCAGUGCAUUUGCUUUCUCGGCUCUUACCUUGCACAGCCCGCCCAGCGUUGGUGUUGGAGUGACUUUGGAAAUGUUUACCAGGACUGUGCUUUAAGCUCAGCAUUCAAUUAAUAAAAAGAGAAAGAGGUCGUGCCCAUAAUUUGUGUUUGGCAUUGGAGAACUCGCGGGUUGUCAAUAGCAUUUUAUUUUUUUCUUUGCAAUCUAUUAAAGGUGUUUAAUUUCAUUUUAACCUUAAACAGUUAGAGCUGGUAGUAGCCAUCAACACUAAAUUAAUACAGUUGUUUACAGGCAUUAAUUGCCAUGGCUGAGUGGUAACAGUGCCUCGACAAAGUAAACCCCUGAUCUGACCAUCUCCCAGGGAGCGUGUCCAAAGCAGUGGGUUACGGAGCUGCGAGACGUCUUCUGCAGUUAGGACUGAGUGAUCCUUAUUAACUGCCCUGUGCCAUGAGGGGCACAGCCUGUGUCCUCCUCGGGUUCUGAUUUCCUGCCCUUCAUUUACUGAGUGUGUACAUCAAAGCAGAAGUAAUUUCCCAUAAUGGAGUGGGGUGUGAGUGCAAUGGAGCCCAGACAGUAAUAGCUACAACUGCUUGGAGAUGCUUUUGUACAGUAGCAUUUUAUUGAUGUUUCUUCCUGAUAACUCUUCACUGAGUGCAAGCAAAAUAAACUGGAGUAGUAAAUGCCUUGGAAACCAUUUUGGAGAGAUGACCUGAAUGUUUCUGCCUUCUGUACCUUUGACAGCGGUGAGUGUGUAAGGAGAGUUGCCUCCAAAGGAAAGGCAUGGCAGUAAAUGAUGCAAAUUGGCAAGAUUACAGAACGUAAUGAAUCCAAAGAAGAUUUAAAAAUAUAAUUGGAAAGAAUGUCAAAGGAAAAAAUGCUUAGUGUGUUUUGUCUGUUAUUGGGACUUGAGCUCACAUCCUAUUAAGAAAUUUGCCCAUGCCAAGGAAAGAGAUGAAAUGUCUC
This is a long non-coding RNA of Myiozetetes cayanensis, 6180 nucleotides long. RefSeq lists it as uncharacterized. The transcript has 3 exons. NCBI's taxonomy places the organism in Eukaryota, Metazoa, Chordata, Aves, Passeriformes, Tyrannidae. The record is from RefSeq and is a predicted model, not a curated record.